RNAcentral lists this ribosomal RNA (502 nucleotides) under uncultured bacterium. RNAcentral's name for it is "bacterial SSU rRNA". It matches the Rfam family "Bacterial small subunit ribosomal RNA", at positions 10 to 504 of the family's 1533-position model. The record is from RNAcentral.
AGUUUGAUCCUGGCUCAGGAUGAACGCUAGCUACAGGCUUAACACAUGCAAGUCGAGGGGCAGCAUAUUUAUAGCAAUAUAAAUGAUGGCGACCGGCGCACGGGUGAGUAACACGUAUCCAACCUGCCGUUUACUCGGGGAUAGCCUUUCGAAAGAAAGAUUAAUACCCGAUGGUAUAUAUUGAUUUCAUGGUCUUUAUAUUAAAGAAUUUCGGUAAACGAUGGGGAUGCGUUCCAUUAGGCAGUUGGCGGGGUAACGGCCCACCAAACCUACGAUGGAUAGGGGUUCUGAGAGGAAGGUCCCCCACAUUGGAACUGAGACACGGUCCAAACUCCUACGGGAGGCAGCAGUGAGGAAUAUUGGUCAAUGGGCGUAGGCCUGAACCAGCCAAGUAGCGUGAAGGAUGACUGCCCUAUGGGUUGUAAACUUCUUUUAUAAGGGAAUAAAGUGGAGUAUGUAUACUCUUUUGUAUGUACCUUAUGAAUAAGGAUCGGCUAACUCC